RNAcentral lists this ribosomal RNA (121 nucleotides) under Varanus keithhornei. RNAcentral's name for it is "partial 16S ribosomal RNA". Lineage: Eukaryota; Metazoa; Chordata; Lepidosauria; Squamata; Varanidae. The record is from RNAcentral.
UAUGCACUAUUCUCUUCAGUACGAAAGGACCAAGAAAAUAAGACCCAUGCUCUUAGUAAGUCCUCAACAUCAAUUGAAAUAAUAUUAAAAUUACAGUAUCAAUUUACCCUAAAACAGGGGC